Molecule: ribosomal RNA, 301 nt
Filed under: uncultured bacterium
Lineage: Bacteria
Description: partial 16S ribosomal RNA
Rfam family: Bacterial small subunit ribosomal RNA
Source: RNAcentral
CAGCAGCCACGGUAAUACGAAGGGUGCAAGCGUUACUCGGAAUUACUGGGCGUAAAGCGUGCGUAGGUGGUGGUUUAAGUCCGUUGUGAAAGCCCUGGGCUCAACCUGGGAAUUGCAGUGGAUACUGGGUCACUAGAGUGUGGUAGAGGAUAGUGGAAUUUCCGGUGUAGCAGUGAAAUGCGUAGAGAUCGGAAGGAACAUCUGUGGCGAAGGCGACUAUCUGGGCCAACACUGACACUGAGGCACGAAAGCGUGGGGAGCAAACAGGAUUAGAUACCCCAGUAGUCCCUGUCUCUUAUAC